GAUGAACGCUAGCGGCAGGCUUAACACAUGCAAGUCGAGGGGUAUAGGUUUUCGGACCUAGAGACCGGCGCACGGGUGCGUAACGCGUAUGCAAUCUACCUUGUACAGGGGGAUAGCCCAGAGAAAUUUGGAUUAAUACCCCAUAGUAUUAUAGAAUGGCAUCAUUUUAUAAUUAAAGUUCCAACGGUACAAGAUGAGCAUGCGUCCCAUUAACUAGUUGGUAUGGUAACGGCAUACCAAGGCUACGAUGGGUAGGGGUCCUGAGGGGGAGAUCCCCCACACUGGUACUGAGACACGGACCAGACUCCUACGGGAGGCAGCAGUGAGGAAUAUUGGUCAAUGGACGCAAGUCUGUACCAGCCAUGCCGCGUGCAGGAUGACGGUCCUAUGGAUUGUAAACUGCUUUUGUACAGGAAGAAACACUCCUACGUGUAGGAACUUGACGGUACUGUAAGAAUAAGGAUCGGCUAACUCCGUGCCAGCCGCCGCGGUAA
RNAcentral lists this ribosomal RNA (494 nucleotides) under uncultured bacterium. Its description in RNAcentral is "partial 16S ribosomal RNA". It matches the Rfam family "Bacterial small subunit ribosomal RNA", at positions 28 to 523 of the family's 1533-position model. The record is from RNAcentral.